Molecule: long non-coding RNA, 556 nt
Organism: Lates calcarifer (barramundi perch)
Lineage: Eukaryota; Metazoa; Chordata; Actinopteri; Centropomidae
Exons: 2
Source: RefSeq, a predicted model, not a curated record
CGACGUGCAAUUUAUUUACAACAACCACAGUGACACAACUAGAACAAUUGAAAUAGUCAGCCACCAGCAACAUAGUUAGAUGGAACUGGCGCCUUUUAUACUGUGUCCCUGGUGGUCUACCUUGCAUCAUACCAUUGACAGGUAUGCUCCAUUUCUGCUCCCAAGUGAAAUUAUUCCAUCAGGACAUAAUUUCUAAUUUUAGCAAAAUAUUUACAAUGGUGUUCUCCUGUCAUUCACCUCCCAACAAACAUAAACCCCAAAAACACAAUUACACCCAAUAUAUUUAACAUACAAAUUCACCCAGAUCCCCUCUACCUAAUCCGCCACUUGGUCCCUCCCGGAACGUUCUUUACCCUGUUCGUACGCCGGGGACUUCUUUCGGCCGAAAACGGGAGCAGACACAAGAUCGGACCGGUAGAGCCCAGCGCCGGUCACCCGACACCUGUAUUGUGACAUGUUCAAUACAUAUGCCAUGUAACCAAUCUACACUUACUACUCAAGAUGCAAAUAUCCUGUACAACGCUCUGUGAAUAAUAAAGUGCAAAAUGUCGCUGUU